UAUUUAACCGUUCUAUAUGUUUAACAUUAUUAUUUUUUAUUUAAAAAAAAAAAAUCUAACAUACCAAAAGGCUCAAAAUUCUAACCCUAACUCCUCUUUCCUCUUAAGAUAGUCGUCAUACACUCAUUCUCCUUCAUAACUUCCCCUCUUGUUUUCCUCUUCUCUCACUUCUUUCCUCCUAUGAGACUCUAACUCCUUUCUCUUCUACCUUCAUCCCUUAAUGUUCAAAUAACUACAAGCUGAAGCCCGAUUAAACUCCGAGCAUCGUCACUGAUGUUACAAAAUAUGCGGUGUGCAAAAAUCAAUAUUCUCAAUGUUACAAAAGUUGCGGUGUGCGAAAAUUCGUCGACAUCUUCCUCUGUUUACAACUAGCGGCCUUACCCAACCUCCGAUACAAUUAAUGCGAAAGAUUAAGCCAUUGAAUAUUUGUUUUGCUCUAUUUAUGGUCAUAAGUUGUUGCGGGUUGAUUGGUGUUUAACAUUAUGGAGGCGGUGUGGUGGUUGAGGUUGGUGGAAACGUUGCGGUGGUUCAGGUUGGUGGAAGUGUUGAUGGUGGUUCAGGUUGGUGUUGAAGUGUCGUUCAGGUUGGUGUUGAAGUGUUGCUGGUGGUUCAAGUUGGUGGAAGACUGGAAGUGCCGCUGCGGUUGGUUUCGAAUUUCAAGGGAAAAUGAAGUUGGUGUUCUUCUGAAGUUGUAAACACAUUAAUAAUUAUUAAGUUAGUUUAGAGAAUUGUAUCAAAAUCUACUUGAAUUGUAAUUACAAUAAAGUUUUUUUUUUAAUUAA
Chenopodium quinoa (quinoa) is the source of this 782-nucleotide long non-coding RNA. RefSeq lists it as uncharacterized. The record is from RefSeq and is a predicted model, not a curated record. NCBI's taxonomy places the organism in Eukaryota, Viridiplantae, Streptophyta, Magnoliopsida, Caryophyllales, Amaranthaceae. The transcript has 2 exons.